This 775-nucleotide ribosomal RNA is filed under the name Pseudomonas sp. RNAcentral's name for it is "bacterial SSU rRNA". It matches the Rfam family "Bacterial small subunit ribosomal RNA", at positions 43 to 800 of the family's 1533-position model. Lineage: Bacteria; Pseudomonadati; Pseudomonadota; Gammaproteobacteria; Pseudomonadales; Pseudomonadaceae. The record is from RNAcentral.
CNUNCCCUCNUACCAUGCAAGUCGAGCGGCAGCACGGGUUACUUGUUACCUGGGUGGCGAGCGGCGNUACGGGUGAGUAAUGCCUANGAAUCUGCCUANUANUGGGGUGAUAACGNUCCGGAAACGGNCGCUAAUACCGCAUACGNUCCUACGGGUAGAAAGUGGGGGAUCUUCNGACNUCACGCUAUUAGAUGAGCCUAGGUCGGAUUANCUAGUUGGUGAGGUAAUGGCUCACCAAGGCGACGAUCCGUAACUGGUCUGAGAGGAUGAUCAGUCNCACUGGAACUGAGACACGGUCCAGACUCCUACGGGAGGCAGCAGUGGGGAAUAUUGGACAAUGGGCGAAAGCCUGAUCCAGCCAUGCCGCGUGUGUGAAGAAGGUCUUCGGAUUGUAAAGCACUUUAAGUUGGGAGGAAGGGCAGUUACCUAAUACGUGAUUGUUUUGACGUUACCGACAGAAUAAGCACCGGCUAACUCUGUGCCAGCAGCCGCGGUAAUACAGAGGGUGCAAGCGUUAAUCGGAAUUACUGGGCGUAAAGCGCGCGUAGGUGGUUUGUUAAGUUGGAUGUGAAAGCCCCGGGCUCAACCUGGGAACUGCAUCCAAAACUGGCAAGCUAGAGUAUGGUAGAGGGUGGUGGAAUUUCCUGUGUAGCGGUGAAAUGCGUAGAUAUAGGAAGGAACACCAGUGGCGAAGGCGACCACCUGGACUGAUACUGACACUGAGGUGCGAAAGCGUGGGGGAGCAAACAGGAUUAGAUACCCUGGUAGUCCNCGC